AACAACAAAGACAGAUUUCUGACAAGGAAACAACCAAGACAGAUUUCGGACUUGACAAACCCGAGCACUUGAGCUACGAAUUUAGAAGACUAAAAUAGAUCUAAAAACAAUAAAAAGGGAUAUUCGUGAUACCUCUAACCAGCUCUGAUGCCAGCUGAUGCGAGAGACGGAAGCUACUUCGGAUCUAGAGGAACACGAUGAAGAUUUGAUGGAGUUGAACCCGAACUUGGACCACUCAAGAACAGAUUUAACGGUAGAGGACGCCACAAUCAAGUGUGUGUGUUUGAUUGAUAAGUCAAGAACAGCCUAGGAUCAACUCUAGGAUAUUCAACUUAGCUUUCACAAGCUAAGGGAAUUUGCCACAAGGAAUGGACGAAAUUCUGGAAAUUUUAUUCAAUACUCUCAAAAACU
Molecule: long non-coding RNA, 411 nt
Filed under: Coffea arabica (coffee)
Lineage: Eukaryota; Viridiplantae; Streptophyta; Magnoliopsida; Gentianales; Rubiaceae
Description: long non-coding RNA (CARA_LNC002645)
Source: RNAcentral